CAACUGACUUCGCAGAAACGUCACGGACAAUGCUUCAUUAAGUCUUCAACCUCUCUGUCUCCGGGAACCUGUCCCUGCCCACAUCGCUCUCCUACUGGCCCUGGCGGCCCUCUGGGUCCUGAACGCCGGUGCCGCCAUCACCCCCGCCCGGGAGGCCUCCGAGAGCCGCAGAAGACCGGUCUGCACUGCCGGGGGUCGCUGGCGCCGCCUCCCGGCCUUCGCGGUGGGAGUCGCUCGCGGACCGGGGUCUCCUGCAACCCCUGCAGCCCAGGUCUCAGAUACACCCAAUGUGGCCCCAAGAAAGGCAGAGACAAGCACCGCGGGAGCCUGAGGCCACGUCUCCCUGCAGGGCCAGGGGGCAAGCCCCAUCCCAGGAGUGGAAGAGAGGAGGGGGCCGGGAGGCCCUGGUGGAUGCGACGCAGAAGCAGGCCACGACCGACCGUGCUGCUGCCCUUUGCUGUGGUCCCGCUUUCCUCCGGGAUGUCCCGAGUGGCUUCACUGGAAGUCAUCCUCCUGGAGGACCUGGAGGAGGGAAGCACUGGGCCUCAGGACCUCCAAGCCAAUCAUCUGAGCCUGGGGCUCUCAGGGCUGAGAAAAGACCGGGGUUUUGGGUGUGUGUGCAUGUGUGCCUGUGUGUGUGUGUGUGCCUCUGUGUGUGUGUGCCUCCGUGUGUGUGUAGGCGUGUGUGCCUCCGUGUGUAUCUGUGUGUGUGUGUCUGCAGACCUCAGAGAGGGAGGCUUCACCCUGCGGCCGGAGGAGGUGGUGAACUCAGGGUGCGUCCCCGCCGAGCCUCUCGUGUCCUGCCGCCGCCGCGCGAGGGGCCUGCCUCGGCUACUCCCAGGCGCACAGGGGCCUGAGCCGGCGGGCGCCGAGAACCUGGGCCCAGGGACGGCCUGGACCCCACCGACACUGGCCCAGGAGCGCAGCCUCAGUCUCACUGCCGGGUCGGUUCUGCCCAAGGUCACCGCGCGCCGCUCGGA
Bos taurus (domestic cattle) is the source of this 980-nucleotide long non-coding RNA. The record is from Ensembl. NCBI's taxonomy places the organism in Eukaryota, Metazoa, Chordata, Mammalia, Artiodactyla, Bovidae.